RNAcentral lists this small RNA (107 nucleotides) under Epilithonimonas arachidiradicis. Its description in RNAcentral is "Chryseobacterium arachidiradicis Flavo-1 RNA". The record is from RNAcentral. Lineage: Bacteria; Pseudomonadati; Bacteroidota; Flavobacteriia; Flavobacteriales; Weeksellaceae.
CCAUAGCCCCGAUAGUAGCGGUUACCCCGCAGUAGAGUGGGAGAGUUGGAGGGUUUGGUGUUGCCAAGCGUUGGAACGAGGAGUAUGAGUGGAUAGCGGGAUUAAGC